UACGUAGGGUGCAAGCGUUGUCCGGAAUUAUUGGGCGUAAAGAGCUCGUAGGCGGUCUGUCGCGUCGGCUGUGAAAACCCGCGGCUCAACCUCGGGCCUGCAGUCGAUACAGGCAGACUAGAGUGCGGUAGGGGAGACUGGAAUUCCUGGUGUAGCGGUGAAAUGCGCAGAUAUCAGGAGGAACACCGGUGGCGAAGGCGGGUCUCUGGGCCGAUACUGACGCUGAGGAGCGAAAGCGUGGGGAGCGAACAGG
This 253-nucleotide ribosomal RNA is filed under the name uncultured bacterium. RNAcentral describes it as "partial 16S ribosomal RNA". It matches the Rfam family "Bacterial small subunit ribosomal RNA", at positions 524 to 776 of the family's 1533-position model. The record is from RNAcentral.